CGUAAAAGACUAGUGUUAUUCAUCUUUUACCAGGUUUAAAGGGUACCUAGACGGUAAAAUCGUCGUUAAGAUACGAUUAUACUAGAGUUAUAUAUAAGGAGGUGAGUAUUUAUGGAGUGUGAGAGUUGAAAUUUGUUCAUACCAUAAGGACUGGUAAAGGCGAAAGCAACCUUUUAUCUAAUAACUGACGUUGAGGGACGAAGGCUCGGGUAGCGAACAGGAUU
RNAcentral lists this ribosomal RNA (224 nucleotides) under uncultured bacterium. RNAcentral's name for it is "partial 16S ribosomal RNA". It matches the Rfam family "Bacterial small subunit ribosomal RNA", at positions 526 to 779 of the family's 1533-position model. The record is from RNAcentral.